This 454-nucleotide ribosomal RNA is filed under the name uncultured bacterium. RNAcentral describes it as "partial 16S ribosomal RNA". It matches the Rfam family "Bacterial small subunit ribosomal RNA", at positions 28 to 507 of the family's 1533-position model. The record is from RNAcentral.
GAUGAACGCUGACAGAAUGCUUAACACAUGCAAGUCAACUUGAACUUCGGUUUGGGUGGCGGACGGGUGAGUAACGCGUAAAGAACUUGCCUCACAGAUAGGGACAACAUUUGGAAACGAAUGCUAAUACCUGAUAUUAUGAUUAUAUGGCAUCGUAUAAUUAUGAAAGCUAUAUGCGCUGUGAGAGAGCUUUGCGUCCCAUUAGCUAGUUGGAGAGGUAACGGCUCACCAAGGCGAUGAUGGGUAGCCGGCCUGAGAGGGUGAUCGGCCACAAGGGGACUGAGACACGGCCCUUACUCCUACGGGAGGCAGCAGUGGGGAAUAUUUGAAAAUGGACCAAGAGUCUGAUCCAGCAAUUCUGUGUGCACGAUGAAGUUUUUCGGAAUGUAAAGUGCUUUCAGUUGGGAAGAAAAAAAUGACGGUACCAACAGAAGAAGUGACGGCUAAAUACGUG